Molecule: ribosomal RNA, 1467 nt
Filed under: uncultured bacterium
Lineage: Bacteria
Description: bacterial SSU rRNA
Rfam family: Bacterial small subunit ribosomal RNA
Source: RNAcentral
AGAGUUUGAUCCUGGCUCAGCCUGAACGCUGGCAGCGUGGUUAAGACAUGCAAGUCGCACGGAUAUAGUAAUAUAUCAGUGGCGCACGGGUGAGUAAUGUAUCGCUAAUGUGCCCCGGACUCUGGGAUAGCUAUCCGAAAGGGUAGGUAAUACCAGAUAAUAUGACCUGGCCGCAUGGUCGGGUUCUCAAAGGUCCGCCGGUCUGGGAGCAGGCGAUAUCGUAUCAGCUAGUUGGUGAGGUAACGGCUCACCAAGGCGACGACGCGUAGCCGGACUGAGAGGUCGGUCGGCCACAUCGGGACUGAGACACUGCCCGGACUCCCACGGGGGGCUGCAGUAACGAAUCUUCCCCAAUGCACGAAAGUGUGAGGGAGCGACGCUGCGUGGAGGAUGAAGUCCUUCGGGAUGUAAACUCCUGUCGGGAGCUACCAAGUUCUGAGGAGCUCCAAAGGAAGAGGCGGCUAACUCUGUGCCAGCAGCCGCGGUAAGACAGAGGCCUCGAGCGUUAGGCGGAAUCACUGGGCUUAAAGCGUGUGUAGGUGGAUUCUUAAGUGCCUUGUGAAAUCCCACGGCUUAACCGUGGAACUGCUGGGCAUACUGGGAAUCUUGAGCCUAUCUAGGGGCAACUGGAACAGACGGUGGAGCGGUGAAAUGCGUAGAUAUCGUCUGGAACGCUCAAUGGUGAAGACAGGUUGCUGGGGAUGUGCUGACACUGAGACACGAAAGCCAGGGGAGCAAACGGGAUUAGAUACCCCGGUAGUCCUGGCCCUAAACGAUGUCCACUAGAUCGCAGCACUUUUGACGGUGUUGUGGUCGAAGUAAAAAUGUUAAGUGGACCGCCUGGGAAGUACGGUCGCAAGGCUAAAACUCAAAGGAAUUGACGGGGGCUCACACAAGCGGUGGAGCAUGUGGUUUAAUUCGAAGCAACGCGCAGAACCUUACCUGGGUUUGACAUCCUUGGAUUAUCUCCAUGAAAGUGGAGUAGGCCCUUCGGGGUACAACUUGGACAGGUGCUGCAUGGCUGUCGUCAGCUCGUGUCGUGAGAUGUCGGGUUAAGCCCCAUAACGAGCGAAACCUUUGCCCUUAGUUACCAUCGAGUAAAGUCGGGGACUCUAAGGGGACUGCCGGUGUCAAACCGGAGGAAGGUGGAGAUGACGUCAAGUCCUCAUGGCCUUUAUACCCAGAGCCACACACGUGCUACAAUGGGGUGGACAAAGCGAACCUAGCGCGCAAGUGCAUGGAAAACGCAAAAAUCACCCCCCAGUUCAGAUCGGAGGCUGCAACCCGCCUCCGUGAAGUUGGAAUCGCUAGUAAUCGCGGAUCAGCUACGCCGCGGUGAAUGUGUUCCUGAGCCUUGUACACACCGCCCGUCAAGUCAUGGGAGCCGGAAAUAGCCGAAGCCGCCAUAAUUCGAUGGUGUCUACGCUAGGUUCGGUGACUGGGACUAAGUCGUAACAAGGUAGCCGU